This 104-nucleotide small nuclear RNA is filed under the name Dracunculus medinensis (Guinea worm). Lineage: Eukaryota; Metazoa; Nematoda; Chromadorea; Rhabditida; Dracunculidae. The record is from RNAcentral.
AUUCAUUCCGAUGAACCUAUACUAAAAUUGGAACAGUAUAGAGAAAAUUAGAAUGGCUCCUGCGCAAGGAUGACACGCAAAUUCAUGAAGAGUUCCAAAUUUUU